RNAcentral lists this transfer RNA (72 nucleotides) under Sphaerobolus stellatus SS14. It matches the Rfam family "tRNA". From Rfam's summary of the family: Transfer RNA (tRNA) molecules are approximately 80 nucleotides in length. The record is from Rfam by way of RNAcentral. Lineage: Eukaryota; Fungi; Basidiomycota; Agaricomycetes; Geastrales; Sphaerobolaceae.
GUGCCCAUCGAUUAGUGGUUAAAUCACCUCGUUGUGGCCGAAGAGCCAGGUGUUCGACUCAUCGUGGGCACA